UUUUUAUUUCCUUCAUCCACU
RNAcentral lists this non-coding RNA (21 nucleotides) under Caenorhabditis elegans. The record is from RNAcentral. Lineage: Eukaryota; Metazoa; Nematoda; Chromadorea; Rhabditida; Rhabditidae.